UCAUCUUGCUUGUAGUUGAUCAUUAUUAAAAGCGCCACCACUUGGCUUGUCACACAGGUUCUCGUUAAAAAUGUGCCACCCGAUCCUGAUGAAACAGUGAGCGAAUCCGUUGAGCACUUUUUCCUGGUCAACCAUCCAGAUCACUAUCUGACUCAUCAGGUUGUAUGCAAUGCCAAUAAGCUUGCAGAACUGGUCAAGGAGAAGAAAAAAAAGCAAAAUUGGCUUGACUAUUACCAAUUAAAGUAUUCGAGAAAUCAAUUGAAACGGCCAAUGACCAAGACUGGUUUUCUUGGUCUUUGUGGAGAGAAAGUAGAUGCAAUUGAUUAUCAGACAGCUGAAAUUGAGAGACUAUCGAAAGAAGUAAGUGUGGGUUCUCAAAUUUUUAAUAUU
This is a long non-coding RNA of Olea europaea var. sylvestris, 390 nucleotides long. RefSeq lists it as uncharacterized. The record is from RefSeq and is a predicted model, not a curated record. The transcript is spliced from 3 exons. NCBI's taxonomy places the organism in Eukaryota, Viridiplantae, Streptophyta, Magnoliopsida, Lamiales, Oleaceae.